This 450-nucleotide ribosomal RNA is filed under the name uncultured bacterium. Its description in RNAcentral is "bacterial SSU rRNA". It matches the Rfam family "Bacterial small subunit ribosomal RNA", at positions 355 to 796 of the family's 1533-position model. The record is from RNAcentral.
UAGGGAAUCUUCCGCAAUGGGCGCAAGCCUGACGGAGCAACGCCGCGUGAGUGAUGAAGGCCUUCGGGUUGUAAAACUCUGUCUUCUGUGAAGAACCAUCCUGUGCAGAGAAAGCUCAGGACCUGACGGUAACAGAGGAGGAAGCCCCGGCUAACUACGUGCCAGCAGCCGCGGUAAUACGUAGGGGGCAAGCGUUGUCCGGAUUCACUGGGCGUAAAGCGCGCGCAGGCGGUCUCUCACGUCCGGGGUGAAAGCCCAGAGCUCAACUCUGGGAUUGCCUUGGAUACGGGGAGACUUGAGGAUCGGAGAGGCAAGGGGAAUUCCACGUGUAGCGGUGAAAUGCGUAGAGAUGUGGAGGAACACCUGUGGCGAAGGCGCCUUGCUGGCCGAUUUCUGACGCUGAGGCGCGAAAGCGUGGGGAGCAAACAGGAUUAGAUACCCCCGUAGUCC